RNAcentral lists this ribosomal RNA (492 nucleotides) under uncultured bacterium. Its description in RNAcentral is "bacterial SSU rRNA". It matches the Rfam family "Bacterial small subunit ribosomal RNA", at positions 28 to 507 of the family's 1533-position model. The record is from RNAcentral.
GACGAACGCUGGCGGCGUGCUUAACACAUGCAAGUCGAACGAAAGGACGGGAAGAGCUUGCUCUUUCCGGAAUUGGGUGGCAAACGGGUGAGUAACACGUAAACAACCUGCCUUCAGGAUGGGGACAACAGACGGAAACGACUGCUAAUACCGAAUAAGUUCCAAGAGCCGCAUGGCCCAUGGAAGAAAAGGUGGCCUCUACCUGUAAGCUAUCGCCUGAAGAGGGGUUUGCGUCUGAUUAGCUGGUUGGAGGGGUAACGGCCCACCAAGGCGACGAUCAGUAGCCGGUCUGAGAGGAUGAACGGCCACACUGGAACUGAGACACGGCCCAAACUCCUACGGGAGGCAGCAGUGGGGAAUAUUGCACAAUGGGGGAAACCCUGAUGCAGCGACGCCGCGUGAGUGAAGAAGUAUUUCGGUAUGUAAAGCUCUAAUCAGCAGGGAAGAAAAAAUGAACGGUACCUGACUAAGAAGCCCCGGCUAACCUACGUG